CUUGACACUGAACAUUGAGCCUUGAUGUGUAGGAUAGGUGGGAGGCUUGGAAGUGUGGACGCCAGUCUGCAUGGAGCCGACCUUGAAAUACCACCCUUUAAUGUUUGAUGUUCUAACGUUGACCCGUAAUCCGGGUUGCGGACAGUGUCUGGUGGGUAGUUUGACUGGGGCGGUCUCCUCCUAAAGAGUAACGGAGGAGCAUGAAGG
RNAcentral lists this ribosomal RNA (207 nucleotides) under Escherichia coli. RNAcentral describes it as "partial 23S ribosomal RNA". It matches the Rfam family "Bacterial large subunit ribosomal RNA", at positions 2110 to 2316 of the family's 2925-position model. The record is from RNAcentral. Lineage: Bacteria; Pseudomonadati; Pseudomonadota; Gammaproteobacteria; Enterobacterales; Enterobacteriaceae.